CAAUUUCUUGGGCUUCUCUCGCGGCAUAUGGAGCUUCCCAGGCUAGGGGUCAAAUUGGAGCUAUAGUCACCGGCCUACGCCAGAGCCACAACAACAUGGGAUCCGAGACACGUCUGUGAUCUACAUCACAGCUCAUGGCAACGCCGGAUCCUUAACCCACUGAACAAGGCCAGGGAUCAAACCCCCAACCUCAUGGUUCCUAGUCGGAUUCGCUAACCACUGAGCCACGACGGGAACUCCUGCAUUUUUUUUUUCCGCUUUUUAGGGCCACACCCACAGCAUAUGGAGGUUCCCAGGCUCAGGGUCAAAUCAGAGCUACAGCUGCCAGCCUACAUCACAGCCACAGCAACUCAGGAUCAAGCUGCUGCGUUUGCGACCUAUACCACAGCUCAUGGCAACAUCGGAUCCUUAAGCCACAGAGUGAGGUCAGGGAUUGAACUCGCAUCCUCAUGGAUCCUAGUCAGGUUUGUUAACCGCUGAGUCACGAAGGGACCUCCCUGCUCAGGCAUUUUUCUUCUUCAACAAUGCAUAUUAAUAUAGAUACAAAUAUAAUAAUAUAAUGAUGUUGUUUCAACAUCAUUCAAACGGAUCCUCUAACCCUUCCUGAACAUUCUCCAAGCAACGUCGGCAAGGUCUUGCUACAAUCCAGAACUAUUUCAGACCUCAACUUAAAAAAGGUUCUUGGCCUUUCAUUGUGUCCAAGCUCUUCGUUCCAACAUUCAAAGCCCUGAGAGCCCAACCCCAUUUUAUGGCUCCAGCUUGGUUCCCUGUUAUUCUCCCUGCUCCUCCCUCUUACCCUGCUCCCACCACCACUAGAUCACGUUCUUUUACAUGAACUUGCCCGGUACCUUUCACUUCUAAGUCUUUAAGUUGUGCUGCUUCUUGUUGUCAAAGUCAUCUUCACUGCCUCCUCUGCUUUGGGGAGUUCUAUGGAACUCAAGGGUGAAGUUAAAAAUCCACAUUUGCCAAAAGUUUUCCCAGCCAUAGAACUGAUCUACCUCCUAAUUCCUCAUGGCGCCAUAAUAGCGCAUUCACAGUGGUCCCAUGAAAGCAUCAUAUAUGUGGAUUUUUCCUUUCCCAACUAGAGGUAGACUUCUUUAAUAUUUAAGUUAUUCAUCUUCUGACUUUUCCUUCCCAUGACAAUGAGCCCCAAUUUCCAACAGUCCUUUGAAAGAUGCUCAGUGCAUGAGGAUGAGCUGAAUCAAUGACAAAGGUGAGUUUAGCAUAAUCUUUGGAGGGAUCUCCAGCCAGAUUUAUCUCAGCUAUGCCCUGGCAGAAUUCCUUGAGAACAGAUGAGGAAGGGCCAGACUGAAGAGGCAUUUAAGAUAAAAAGGGGAAAAAUUAGGUUGUGCACCUCUUUCUAAGCAGAUUUUCUAAUUUUGCUAUGUCAGAAUAUGUGUUGAAUGUGCACUCCAAGAAUAUUUACUAUCGAGAUCAAACUUCAAAAGUAGUGCGCCUAGGGUGUGCUUCAAAAAGCAUUUAUUCCAACACUUACACUUUCUCUUCCUUCAUUACAAACAUGACAGGUGCCUAGAGGUGAAUUCAGUUCCUCUAACCACACUGAUUAUGGAAUGGUCAUUAGAGGCCGUGAAAAUGAAGGUUUCUGGAGAAAGAUGAAAUUACACUUAUAUUAGGAUGUCAAACAGGACCUUGCAUGAAAAGAGCCAUGGAUCCAAGGGGAAAAAGAAAAGACCAAACCCAAAUGUGAGGCCCCUAACUGUAAUAGAGAAGCUGAUGCUUGGCUUUCUGGAGAGCUGGUCGUGUGUGUGUUGAAUUACAGGCAAUUAUCGGUGGUCUCCCUGUUGGCCCCAAAGAAUUUAGAACCGCGUCAAAGGGAAAUACGAUCCACCAGAAGGGAAAUCCUACUGCAUCUUUUAACUCUGGACCAACUCCUCUAGGUAGAUGAUGCGUUUUAUUUCCAUGAUGCAUUUUAUUCUUGAAGUCUCACAAACAGUUGUUGGUGAAAGUCGAUGUAAAGGUAAAUUUCUCUCCUGGGUCACUUGUUUUGAAAAACCCAGACUGGCCCUGUGAAAUUGUUGUGAUGCUGAUGACUGAAAUAAAACUGUCUCAGUGUCUUCACUGCCAUCCAGCAGUCAAUCCACAGGGAAGAAGUGACACUUUUGCAUAAAUCAACUGUGUGUUGUUCACCACUGUGAUAAGAUUUUGGGGUGCAAGACCAUGAAGCUUGGGCUGAUUCUUCAAGGAAAAUGAUGUCCUGAUCAAUGCAAUGUUAGCAUUAAUUACAUUUCAUUGUAUUAAUACAUGCCUGGAAAGUGAUAUAUUUACAUGCCAGCAUACAAGAGACCUGAAUACUAAAAAAUUAGGGAGACCAAUCCUUCCAUUGGUCUAGACAAGCUGGAGGGCAAUGGACACUCUCCACUAAAUGCAGUGCCACCUGGGCUGAUUAGAGCUGGUUCUGCUCAACUCUGCUUCCAGCCUACAUCGACAGCAGAAACACACUGCUCUUCUGACUUAGACGGAAUGAAGCUUACUGAGUAAAAAAACCUGGAAGCUAGUUAGGAUCAUUUGUCCCACAAAUAAUCUAAAAUAUAGGACAAAUGAUCCUAUCUAUAAAAUAGAAACAGAUCACAGCCAAGGAGAGCAGACUUGUGGUUGGCAAGGGGAGGGGGUAGGAGUAGGAUGGAUGAGGAGUUUGGGGUUGGUGGAUGCAAACUAUUACAUUUGGAAUCAAUGGGCGCUGGCAUCCUACUGUACAGCACAGGGAACUGUGUGUAAUUGGGUCACUUUGCUGUGCAACAGGAAGGAACACUGUAAAUUAGCAAACUUUAAUUUAAAAAAUAAAAUAAAUAAAAAAGAAAAAGCUAAAUGCUUCAAGAAUGGCUUUCCCUAGGUUCUUAUUUUCCAAAUUGGAUUAAAAAUUUGACACUAACUAAAUGUGAACCAUGGCCAAAUUAGUUUAACAUUCCCAUGUUUCAUUUUCCUCACAUGCAAAAAAUGAGCAUAUGAGCGUGUGCUGCUCCCAUACGUAAGGAGCAGCAUGCUAAAGCUGUGUUAGCCAAACCACAUUCUCAGAUAAAUAUUCUAGAUGAAAUCUCUCAUGAGUGUUCACAGAGUUUCAUUAAGAGAUGAUGUCAAGAAUGAGAUUCUAUGUUAGAAUUGUCUGGGAUAGCCUGAAUAUUGCUUGGUGAUAUUAAGUUGGAAUCUGUUUCAACUCUGGCUUUGGGGCAUAUGAAAAUCAUAUUGCAUGUUCUGGUUUCAAGUCUUUUUUUCUCCCUACAUUUAGGCCAAUAGUAAGGCAUUAUGACUCCAUAAACUUUAAGAAAACAGUUUUAGGCAAAUAUACUCAAUACCAUAGAUUUGGGGAUGCUGAUAACCACUGCUAGAAAUUUAAUCUACUCAUUCAUCUCCUUUUCAUCAUCUUUCCCAUGUUAAUGUUUAAAUAAGCAGAGGCCCCAAACGCUCACAAUUCAGGUAUUUUGUGCAUUCCUACUAUACUUGUCACAGAAAGGCACAGGCUUUGUUUAUGAGAAUGUCUUUAUCUGAUUUAUCUUGGAUUUCUUUCCACUCUCAAUCUCUGGAAUACUUCCUGGUAGAGAGGUAGAAAGUGAUGGUCAAUAAAAUUUGUUAAAGGAAUCAAUAGAUGAUUGAUUCAUCAUCUAUUGACUAGAUGGUGAAAAAAUGGAAGCCGCAUCAUCCUGAAUAGAGUGCACACACACACAUGCACACCCAUGCGCACACACGCACAUGUAUGUACACACAUGCACAGAGUCCUACCCAGGAAGCAAUCUUAGGUUACUGUAUAGUUCAGAAAUGGUGGAAAUACUUCACUUUCUCAGGCCUCACCGCCAUUCCUGGCUACAGCACAUACAACCAGUUGGCUUGGCAACUCUUCUGCUGAAAAUCCUCGUCCUUCCCCAGGUCUGAGGUACUGAGAUGAUGACUACUGAUUCGCGAGUUGUCACUUGGGAGGAAAUCAAUGUCUGACCUAGACACUGCUUCUCACUGGUCAAAAAAAUGGUCAUGUGUUGGGUUAAGUAGAUCCCUCAAUGGAUUGAAACAGAAAAGAACUCAUAACAACUUGGCAUUGGUCAAAGGAAGCCAAGGAAGAUAGAUGGUCAAACUGCAUUAACCAAAAAUGCCAGAUGAGGUUUCAGGGCCCUUGACAGUCAACUGACUCAGGAAAAGCAUUUCUACUGAUUAUCAAAUGGAAUCUAUCAUGUCCAAGUUUCAUCAUCUCAAUUGUGAGCAAAAGCAGAGGAACAUUUAUUAAUGCAAAGCAAAGAGAAUGCUUGCUAACACCCUUGCCAUUUUGUUUCAAAGUAUAGUAAAAAAUUUGGGCACUCUCUCUCCCCCAACUAGUUUCUUUCCUCGGCUUUUAUGUGGGCAGGGUUGUUGUAAUUUCUCUGUUCAAAUAAAGUCUGUAGAAAGCCACAAAAGGAGAUCUGGACCCUACAGCUUAACGGAUUCUGGAAAGCAGCUGGCUUGUAACAUGAGUCAUUCCAGCCAAGGCUUUCUCUUUUGUAUGUUUUUCUCUGACCUAAAGAGUGGGUUAUUGGAUGUCUUCUGGCAGGUGCUAUGGGAUUAAGGAGGUAGUUGGUCAGAAACAAACUUUGAAUUAGGUUUUUUUUUUAAGAGUUUACUAAAGUAAAUAUGAUCGUUAGCUUAAUCCCCCAUAUCUAACAUGAGGUUCAAAUUUAAUAGUGAGUUUUAAAAAUAUUGGUUGGCAUGAGCAGCUAUUAUUUAUGUACAGAUCUCUGUGUGUUUCUCCAAGAGUUUUAUUUUAAUGUUUAUGAUGAAAUCUCCAGUACAUUUUUACUUAUCAGGAUACAAACAUCUCAAAAACUCAAAUGUGCACAUUAUUUUUCCUUUUCUGCCAUUCUGAGAGAAAAGCAAGUGGAAUAUUAAUAAAUUUACAACAGAGGGGGAUUAUAUUCUAAGUCAUUUUUCAGAGCCUUCGCAAGGUCUGUGGGGAUUCAGAACAAUCUCCCACACCUGUAAUUCUGGGACAUGAUAAAUUAAUAGAUUCUCAUAUGAUGACUCUCAGGUAUUUCUGAAAAUGCCUCAAGUUUCUGAAUCACUGAAGAAAGAUUAACUCAGCUGGCAUCUAUUUUUAGUGUUGUCAACUCUCUAUAUGCCUAGUACUCGAUUUAGCAAAAACUGGUGGCCUCCAUAUUUUAUAUCUAUAUACAUGUGAUACAGGAUGGGGUCUACUUGCUUAUGUCAUCAUCAGCAUCAAUCACGUCACUCAAGUUACUAAAGGGAAGGAGCUUAUGGGGAGAAUUUGGUUGGUAAGAAAAGACAAAAGAAGGGGCAAAUAUAGUAGCCUUUUGCAUCUAGAAAGUAUAAAACAUCAGAUUUCAGAUAUAAAGAGCUAAAUUCAAACUUCAGGAGUUCCUAUCAUGGCUCAGCAGAAAUGAAUCUGACUAGCAUCUGUGAAGACGCAGGUUUGAUUCCUGACCUCGCUUAGUGGGUUAAGGAUCUGGUGGUGCCAUGAGCUGUGGUGUAGGUUUCAGAUGCUGCUCAGACCUGGCAUUGCUGUGGCUGUGGUGUAGGCAGGCAGCUACAGCUCUGAUUCAACACCUAGCCUGGGAACCUCCACAUGACAGGGGAGUGGCUCUAAAAAGAAAAAAAAAAUCCAGCUCCUCCUCACAGAACCUAAGCAUGAUCUUGGACAACAAUUUAACCUGGAAGAGAUCCAUUUACACAUCCAUACACUGGGAUGAGUAAUAAGGCCAGCUUUCUGUCACGGGACAGUGAGGACUAAAGUGGAUCUUUCUGGUGAAAACUCUUUGUAAGCUCUUAAGUAGAAUAUAAGUCAAGGAUCAGGACACUUUUUUUUUUUUUGUAAAGUUACAGACAAUAUUUUAGUUUUUGUGGAUAAAGUCUGAAUCAAAACAACUCAACUAUGAAGUUGUAGCAAGGGAACAGCCACAGACGAUGACAAAUCAAUUUGAUUGACAAAUCAACAGGUGUGACUGAGCCAAUGAACAUCCAUUUACAAAAUCAAAGGGUGGCUAGACUUAGUCCAUGGGCUAGAAUUUGCUGACCCCUGAUAUAAAUAACAGCUCUCACCAUGACUGUACAAUGCAAAUGUCCACAGUCUAGUGUGUUUGCCAAUAGACUAUCACAGUCGUCAUAUAUAAACACCAACAUCAUUUAUCUUCAUUAAUGAUGUUUCAUCCUUUCUCCUUCCACCUGUGCUUGUAAGGAAAUGAAAUUGAAUAGAUGUCUACAGAUAGAGCGGACUUUUCACCUUGGUGUGAUAGGGCAGAGCUGAGCAGAGGCAAAGCCUUUGAGAGCUCAUACUUGCAUUUUAUGAGGUCUUCUCUAGAUAAGACUAAAAUCCAGUCAUAUUUAAAUAUACAUAUACAUCCAGUCUCCGAUUGGAUAUCAACUGUUCUGUUGAUUACAUACUUAUUCAUAGACCCACAAACAGUAAGGAAUGGCUACACCAAAAAAAGAGCGACGCUGAAAAGCUGAAGUCAGAGAGGAAGCUAUCAGAAGUCAGUUUAUUAAAGGCCUUCACCCCCAAAUUGGAGAUGGUUUAUAAUAAAAACAAUUAAACAAAGUGCAGCUAAUGUAUAGCUAAUGUAUAGCGACAGUAGGUGACAGUAGGGUUGAAGGAAAACAGCCAUCUUCACACACUGUGGGUUGGAAUGCUCCUUGGUGUAGCCUUUCAAGAGGGCAAUGUGUCAGUACAAAACUUUUUUUUUUAAGUUUUAUUAAAGUAUAGCUGACUUACAAUGUUGU
Molecule: long non-coding RNA, 6711 nt
Filed under: Sus scrofa (pig)
Lineage: Eukaryota; Metazoa; Chordata; Mammalia; Artiodactyla; Suidae
Description: lncRNA (ENSSSCG00025033373.1)
Source: RNAcentral